Molecule: transfer RNA, 72 nt
Filed under: Ferroplasma acidiphilum
Lineage: Archaea; Methanobacteriati; Thermoplasmatota; Thermoplasmata; Thermoplasmatales; Ferroplasmaceae
Also listed under: 4 other names
Description: tRNA-His
Rfam family: tRNA
About the family: Transfer RNA (tRNA) molecules are approximately 80 nucleotides in length. Their secondary structure includes four short double-helical elements and three loops (D, anti-codon, and T loops).
Source: RNAcentral
GCCGGGGUGGGGUAAUGGACAUCCUUGGGGACUGUGGAUCCCCGGACCCGGGUUCGAUUCCCGGUCCCGGCC